This 92-nucleotide Y RNA is filed under the name Microcebus murinus (gray mouse lemur). Its description in RNAcentral is "Y RNA (ENSMICG00000023325.3)". It matches the Rfam family "Y RNA". From Rfam's summary of the family: Y RNAs are components of the Ro ribonucleoprotein particle (Ro RNP), in association with Ro60 and La proteins. The Y RNAs and Ro60 and La proteins are well conserved, but the function of the Ro RNP is not known. Lineage: Eukaryota; Metazoa; Chordata; Mammalia; Primates; Cheirogaleidae. The record is from Rfam by way of RNAcentral.
GGCUGGUCUGAUGGUAGGUUAUCAGAACUUGCUAAUAUUAGUGUCACUAAAGUUGGUAUACAACCCCCUACUCCUAAUUGGACUGGCUAUAA